RNAcentral lists this ribosomal RNA (330 nucleotides) under uncultured eukaryote. RNAcentral's name for it is "partial 18S ribosomal RNA". It matches the Rfam family "Eukaryotic small subunit ribosomal RNA", at positions 1470 to 1796 of the family's 1831-position model. The record is from RNAcentral.
CCCUUAGAUGUUCUGGGCCGCACGCGCGCUACACUGACGAAGUCAGCGAGCAUCUCCUACGCCGAAAGGUGCGGGGAAUCUUGUGAAACUUUGUCGUGCUGGGGAUUGAUUUUUGAAAUUCUUGAUCAUCAACGAGGAAUUCCUAGUAAGCGCAAGUCAGCAGCUUGCGUUGAUUACGUCCCUGCCCUUUGUACACACCGCCCGUCGCUACUACCGAUUGAAUGGUUUAGUGAGAUUUUUGGACUGGAACUCUCUUGUUCAGCAAUGAACGAGAGGGACUCUGGGAAGCUACUCUAACUGUAUCAUUUAGAGGAAGUAAAAGUCGUAACA